Molecule: ribosomal RNA, 303 nt
Filed under: uncultured bacterium
Lineage: Bacteria
Description: partial 16S ribosomal RNA
Rfam family: Bacterial small subunit ribosomal RNA
Source: RNAcentral
AGCAGUAGCCGCGGUAAUACGUAGGUGGCAAGCGUUGUCCGGAAUUAUUGGGCGUAAAGCGCGCGCAGGUGGUUUAAUAAGUCUGAUGUGAAAGCCCACGGCUCAACCGUGGAGGGUCAUUGGAAACUGUUAAACUUGAGUGCAGAAGAGGAGAGUGGAAUUCCACGUGUAGCGGUGAAAUGCGUAGAGAUGUGGAGGAACACCAGUGGCGAAGGCGACUCUCUGGUCUGUAACUGACGCUGAGGAGCGAAAGCGUGGGGAGCGAACAGGAUUAGAUACCCGAGUAGUCCCUGUCUCUUAUAC